RNAcentral lists this long non-coding RNA (479 nucleotides) under Marmota monax (woodchuck). The record is from RNAcentral. Lineage: Eukaryota; Metazoa; Chordata; Mammalia; Rodentia; Sciuridae.
AUUGCAUAUCCUUUAUCAUACAUGGCAUAAUAAAUACCAUGCUUCCUAUUAAUGAUAUGUUUGCUCCAUAGGGAGGAUUACUGACUGUGGAAGGGUCCUUGACAUUUAGUGAUGUCUUGAUUUAGGGAAUUUAAAUAAGCAAAGACUACCUGCUCCAGAUUCCCAGUGAUCUGUCUGGACCUACUGUAGGUCCUUGGGGAAUGGGUUCUGGCAAAGGCAGCUUGGAGUCAAACACAACUCUUACACUUUCACAGUGAUUCUGUUACUAUGGAAGUCAGAGAGGUUCAUUGACUUGGAACAAUUGUAUUUCAUUGACUUGGAAUUUGGAAAUGAUGUUGGUGUGCUUAUUAUUUUUAAAGUAGGUUGAGAUUUUCAGCAUUAUUUUACUACUUGAGAAAUUGGAAGAAAAAAAAAUCUAAUAUAUUUCUCCAUAAGCUCCUACCUAUAUAGUUCUUCAAGUCUUGAUAUGUUCAGUCCUC